UACGUAGGGCGCAAGCGUUGUCCGGAAUCAUUGGGCGGAAAGAGCUCGUAGGCGGCCUGUUGCGUCCGCUGUGAAAUCCCGGGGCUUAACCCCGGGCGUGCAGUGGAUACGGGCUGGCUGGAGGCAGGCAGGGGAGAACGGAAUUCCCGGUGUAGCGGUGAAAUGCGCAGAUAUCGGGAGGAACACCGGUGGCGAAGGCGGUUCUCUGGGCCUGUACUGACGCUGAGGAGCGAAAGCGUGGGGAGCGAACAGG
Molecule: ribosomal RNA, 253 nt
Filed under: uncultured bacterium
Lineage: Bacteria
Description: partial 16S ribosomal RNA
Rfam family: Bacterial small subunit ribosomal RNA
Source: RNAcentral